GCCAGGCGUCAUGACUCACACCUGUAUUCCCAUCUACUUGGGAGGCUGAGGCAAGAGGAUCCCUUGAGUCCAAUAGUUCUGGGCUAUGCCAAUCAGAUGUCUACACUAAGUUCAGCAUUUAUAUGAUGACCUCCCAGAAGCAGGAGGACUACCAGGUUGCCUAAGGAGGGAUGAACCCACCCAGGUUACAAAAAAAAAAGACCAAAAAAAAAGGAGCAGGUCACAACUCCUGUGCCGAUCAAUAGUGGGAUUGCACCUAUGAAAACCAGCCUAGGCAAUAUAGCAAGGCACCAUCUUCGU
Unclassified non-coding RNA from Pongo abelii (Sumatran orangutan), 300 nucleotides. It matches the Rfam family "Metazoan signal recognition particle RNA". From Rfam's summary of the family: The signal recognition particle (SRP) is a universally conserved ribonucleoprotein. It is involved in the co-translational targeting of proteins to membranes. The eukaryotic SRP consists of a 300-nucleotide 7S RNA and six proteins: SRPs 72, 68, 54, 19, 14, and 9. NCBI's taxonomy places the organism in Eukaryota, Metazoa, Chordata, Mammalia, Primates, Hominidae. The record is from Ensembl.